UACGGAGGGGGCUAGCGUUGUUCGGAAUUAUUGGGCGUAAAGCGCGUGUAGGCGGCUUUGCAAGUCGGGUGUGAAAGCCCUCAGCUCAACUGAGGAAGUGCGCCCGAAACUGCAUGGCUUGAGUACCGGAGAGGAUGGUGGAAUUCCCCAAGUAGAGGUGAAAUUCGUAGAUAUGGGGAGGAACACCGGUGGCGAAGGCGACCAUCUGGACGGAUACUGACGCUGAGACGCGAAAGCGUGGGUAGCAAACAGG
This 253-nucleotide ribosomal RNA is filed under the name uncultured bacterium. RNAcentral's name for it is "partial 16S ribosomal RNA". It matches the Rfam family "Bacterial small subunit ribosomal RNA", at positions 524 to 776 of the family's 1533-position model. The record is from RNAcentral.